GUCCACGGCCAUACCACCCUGAAUGCGCCUGAUCUCGUCUGAUCUCAGAAGCUAAGCAGGGUUGGGCCUGGUUAGUACUUGGAUGGGAGAAACACAAACAGUCCGUGAACA
RNAcentral lists this ribosomal RNA (111 nucleotides) under Prolemur simus (greater bamboo lemur). The record is from RNAcentral. Lineage: Eukaryota; Metazoa; Chordata; Mammalia; Primates; Lemuridae.